UACGUAGGGCGCAAGCGUUGUCCGGAAUUAUUGGGCGUAAAGCGCUCGUAGGCGGCUUGUCACGUCGGGGGUGAAAGCCCGGGGCUUAACCCCGGGUCUGCAUUCGAUACGGGCUAGCUAGAGUGUGGUAGGGGAGAUCGGAAUUCCUGGUGUAGCGGUGAAAUGCGCAGAUAUCAGGAGGAACACCGGUGGCGAAGGCGGAUCUCUGGGCCAUUACUGACGCUGAGGAGCGAAAGCGUGGGGAGCGAACAGG
This 253-nucleotide ribosomal RNA is filed under the name uncultured bacterium. RNAcentral's name for it is "partial 16S ribosomal RNA". It matches the Rfam family "Bacterial small subunit ribosomal RNA", at positions 524 to 776 of the family's 1533-position model. The record is from RNAcentral.